UACAAUUACAUUUGACAUAACAAAUUGUUGUAAACAAGACGUGUCUGUUAAUUGCUAACAUUUUCAGAAGUUGCAAAUGUUUAAAUAUGUAAAGCACAUAAUAUUAAUAAUUUAUUAGUUAUUUCUACAAUAUUGUAUCGAAAGAGUGUGAGUAGUGCUAGCAAAUUUUUAAAUAAAAUGAAUGUAAUGGAACGAAGAAAAAACAAAAACAAGUCUAGUAUUCCUUCUCAAAUGGAAAACGGAGAUUUGCCCAGUUCGUCAACGUGUAGUAACAUCAGAGGCGAUGAAAGAAACAUAUUACUUCUGUUCUUCCUGUAUACUCUGCAAGGUAUUCCCCUUGGAUUGUCAUCCGCUAUCCCUAUGAUAUUACAAAAUAGGGGAGUUAGUUAUAAACAACAAGCAGAAUUCAGUUUCGUAACCUGGCCCUUCAGUUUGAAGCUGUUAUGGGCCCCCAUAGUGGACAGUAUAUUUUCGUCACGAAUAGGUAGAAGAAAAACGUGGAUGAUUCCUUCGCAGUAUUUAAUCGGUGGCUUUAUGUUACUUCUUUCUAGUCACGUCAACAAGUGGCUCGGAGAAGACGGAUCUGCGCCGAACAUAGAAGUUUUGACUUUUAUGUUUUUUUCGUUAAACUUUUUAGCAGCUACGCAAGAUAUUGCCGUUGACGGAUGGGCUUUGACGAUGCUUAGAAAAGAAAAUGUUGGACAUGCUUCAACUUGUAACAGCGUAGGACAGACAACUGGUUUUUUCCUGAGUUACGUUCUUUUUAUGGCUUUGGAAUCCGCCACAUUUUGUAAUCAGUAUUUAAGGACGAUACCUGAGACGGAAGGUAUUGUGACUCUAUCUGGAUUUUUGUAUUUCUGGGGAAUAGUAUUUGUUAUUACUACCACAAUAGUAGCGUUUCUUAAAAGAGAAACGGAUGCAUCGAAUGUAGAUCAUGAACGUGAUUUGAAAUCAGCAUAUAAAUCUUUAAAGAGUAUAAUGGGUUUGCCAGCUGUACAAACUUUGGUUGUGAUUUUGUUAACUUGUAAGAUUGGAUUCUCUUCCACUGAUAGUGUUAUGGGAUUAAAAUUAGUUGAAGCUGGCAUUCCAAAAGAACGAUUGGGUCUUAUGGCUUUACCGUUAAUUCCAUUACAGUUAGCUAUGCCUUUAGUAAUAGCCAAAUAUACCACAGGGCCUAAACCGCUAAAUAUAUUCUUGAAAGCUAUACCUUAUCGGUUAGCUUUUGGCUUUGUAGCAGCUUUUGUAGUAUUUAUAACACCAAUUUUAGUACCUGAUGCUUCAAAUGGCCUACCAUUUUAUUAUGUAAUAUUAUUGUUUGCCUGCUACGCUCUUCACCAGGUGUGCGUGUAUUGCAUGUUUGUUGCACAAAUGGCAUUUUUUGCCAAAAUCAGUGACAGUGCAGUCGGAGGAACGUAUAUGACGUUACUAAAUACUCUUACGAAUCUUGGAGGUAAUUGGCCGACUAUGCUUGCCCUCUAUUGGGUUGAUCCGUUGACUUGGAAACGGUGUGAAGGAGGAGCUGAGAGUGUAGACAAUAUAUGUAGGAAUAACGUAGAAAAAGUACUAUGCGAAAAAGUAGGAGGCAAAUGCGUGACAGUUCUAGACGGUUUCUAUAUAGAAACCCUCAUCUGUGUUGCAAUAGGAUUUUUAUGGUAUUUAUGGGGAGCAAAGAAAGUACGACAUCUGCAGCAGUUAGGUGACAACGCUUGGAAGCUCAAAAAUAAAAAAUCCCAAAAGAGCUAGCUUCUUUGGAAAACUGAUAAGACUUUUUACGUUUGUAAAUACGAUUGUUCUAUUCCAAUUGAAUAAACCGAGAACUGGAGGAUAACACACAAAUAAUUUAUAUUUUUAUAGGGUACAUUUUUCAGUUUGUUUUGUUUAAAUUAUUUUCUUUUUGUUUGUGAAUGUUUACCAAGUGAAGAAUAUUGAAUUUAAGUUAAAUUAUGUAUUAUAAAAUAAAAAUGUAUAUCAUUUUUAUUCAGUUGCAAUGCGAAGGCAAACCUGUCCUUAUUGUUCACUUGGUACAGAGAGCGCAAACCAGCACUCUAAAUCGACGAUUUUCGACUCUAAUUGGAGUCAUCAUCAGAGAGGCGUAGGUUUGCUACUCUCUGCCCCAAGUGACGAAACUUCGAGAGUUUAUCACCGCAUUGCAACUGACGUUACAGAGUAGGUGCCUAGCGACAUAUCUUAACUGAAAGUCAAAGUUUUCAACCUUAUAAGAAUAUUUAAAAUAUUUAAAAAUAUCCAAAAUAUUCUUAAAAGAUAUUUAAUUGAAAACUUAUUGGACCAUUUUCCUGGUGAAGCCAGAUGGAUGCUGAAGCGAAGAAAACAAGAGGGAAUUCUAAAACUUGCAAUUCACGAUCCCGUGUUAACUGGUAAAUUCCAACGGAAAAUGGACCUAUGUUACUCAAAGGAGUAAUACUAAUAUAAAAUAAAAAUGUAUACCAUUUUUAUUCAGUUGCAAUUUACUUAAAUUAAAUUUGCAAUUUAUUGGAUGCUUUCCGAAGCUUCUUUAAAAAAACUCAUGGCAUUCGAGAUGUGGUGUUCAGACACAUUUUAAGAAUUUCGUGGGUGGAUGGUGUGACUAACGUUAAGGACCUAUGUACGUAGAAUAGACAAGGAUUGCGAGAUAAUAAACACCAUCAAAAGCGCAAACUAGAAUAUCUUAGCCAUGUUAUGAGGAAUGAAGGCUUGUGAAGAGAUCUGGCUUGUUGCUACUCAUUCUUUAGGGCAAAGUAUUUGGAAAGAGAGGACCAGGGAGGAGAGAAAUAGCUUGCCUUCAAAACCUGAGAAAGUGGUUUAAUACAUCGACAACCGGACUAUUCCGAAUAGCAGCAAGCAAAGUUAGAAUAGCCAUACUGAUCACCAUCAUCCGGAACGGAUAUGCAUCAUAAAAAGAAGAAGAAGACUAGUUAUUAAUAGACUAGUAGGAAUUGUCCUUGAAAUAUGGAAAAUAUGUUUUUCAAUAAAAAACAUUAUUAAUAUCCUAGGGUUAAAAAAUUUAUUAAGCGAAAAACAUACCAACGCGAUCUCGGCGCGAUGGCGAUCGCGAUUCAACUCAUCUGAAGCAAACAAGAACAUGCGUAUUAGAAAUAAAUGUUUCAUCAAAACUUUCUAAAUUCAUUCUAAAAUAUUGUUAUGCUCUGUAUUUCUCUCUUGUUGUGAGAUUGAUCAACAAAUUCUUAUUUUGAUUAAUUACUUAAUUAUUUUAAUUAUUACUUAUGUAAAACAAAACCAAAAUUAAAUUGAAUUCUCUAAUAAAUUUUAUUCUCAGGGCUAUUUUAACUUUAAUGCAUUACCUUAGGUUUGUGGCUUCUAGUAUCUCUAGUUGCUUACUUCAUCGAGGGACAAAACCGGGAAACUAAACACACUCGAUGUCAUAUAAAUGUUAUAAAUAUUUUUUAUUUAUCCAAUAUACCAUAAAUAUACGCUUUAAAAAAUUAUCCUAAAAUUUAAUUAUGUUGCAACUUUUUCUCAUCUAAUAAAUUAAGCUUUAAUUCUGAUAUCUCCUUUGUUUUAACAAAUUUUAUUUAAAUAAUUCAUUAGAGUAUUCUUACAAAAAUACUAAAAUUUACUUUUCGCCUUUUGCAUUGAUUACUUAUCUCUUCUUUAAAUUUUGGAAUGACUAAAGUAUGCUAUAGAAAUGCUCAAUACAAAAAUAAUAUGGUGUGGAUAUAAAACAAACUCUCCCCGUUGCACAAAAAUUCUGACUAACCUUUUUGUUUCUUCUUUACUUCUUCUUCCUGGAUUGCACAGCCUUCGAUUCUCUCACACUUGCUCUUAGGAUGUAGCGAAUGGUCCUUCUCGUCCAAACUGCUUCACCAACAAACAAACAAUGGGACUCGCUCGAAAUGUCUAUUCAGUUUUCUCUCUGCUCGAUAUCUUGUGCAAAUUGAUACCCACCGGCUACUCGUUCUAGACCGAACGCAGGAAUCUCCUCGGGCACAAGGAAAAUUAACUUCUCAACUCGGUCAACGAUUUCGUUUCACCACGAUCUGCUCGCAAAGGGCAAUUUCACCACUUUACACCGACUUCUCACUUUUUAAAAAACUGGACUGUCCUCUCCAGAUAUUAAUUACAUCUUCUUCUUCAGGUGCCGUCUUCAGGAGGUUGGCAAUCAUCAUAACUAUUUUAAUUUUUGAGGCAGUGCUCUAAAUAGUUGUUUUGAGCUGCAUCCAAACCAUUCUCUCAGGUUCUUCAGCCAUGAAAUUCGUCUUCUGCCGAUGCUUCUUCUGUCAUCUAUCCCUGCAUUAUGAGUCGCAAGAUGCCAUACUUCUCGCCCCGCAUCACAUGUCCGAGAUACUGUAGUUUUCUUUCUUUAAUUGUAAGUUCAACUUCCUUCUCUUUACCUAUUCUUCUCAAUACUUCAUUGUUCGUAACUCUAUCUACCCAGGAAACCCUCAUAAUUCUUCUAUAGGUCCACAUUUCAAAGGCGUUAAGUCGUCUCAUUGUCUCUACAUUUAACGUCCAUGAUUCCAAUCCAUAGUAUAGUACACUAUAUACGUAACAUUUUGUUAGGCGUACUUUAAGAGCUAAUGUUAAAUCUUUGAUACAUAGGACCUUUUUCAUUUUCAUAAAAUUAGAACGUGUUUUCUCGAUUCUGACUUUGAUUUCUGCAGAGUAGUCAUUAUUUUCGGUUAUAAGUGUUCCUAGGUAAGUGUACUUUUUUACUCUUUCGAUCUGCUGGCCCUCUACUAUCAAGAUUUCGUUAGUAUUAUGGUUGUUUUUACUAAUUUUCAUAAACUUCGUCUUUUUGAUAUUGAGAGGGAGUCCGUACUCCCGACUACACCUUACUAUUUUACUCAUGAGUAUUUGCAGGUCUUGUAAACUAUCGGCUAUUAUUACUGUAUCAUCUGCAUAUCUGAUGUUGUUAACUAAGACUCCAUUUACUCUUAUGCCGACUGUUUCAUUUUCCAGAGUUUCUCGCAUUACCUCUUUAGAAUAAGCGUUAUAUAAUAGAGGUGAUAGUAUGCAGCCUUGCCUGACUCCUCUCUUUAUUUCCAUUUCUUCAGAUGUUUCUUUUUCUAUUCUUACUAUUGCUCGCUGAUUGUAAUAGAGAUGUGUUAUUAGUCUUAAAUCUCUUUCAUCUAGGUUUUUAGUUUUUAGAAUUUCCAUGAGUUGGUCAUGUUUUACUUUAUCAAACGCUUUAUUGUAGUCUAUAAAACAGAUGUAAAGAGAACGAUUAACAUCCAAACAUCUCUGUGUCAGCACGUUGAAGGAGAAUAAUGCCUCUCUGUUGCCCAUACCAUUGCGGAACCCGUAUUGAGUGUCAUUAAUAUCCAGCUCCAGUUUAGAGUGUAUUCUGGCGUCGAUAAUUUUCAGCAGAAUUUUCAAGGUAUGUGACAUUAAGCUUAUGGUUCGGUAGUCACUGCAUUCUUUGGCAUUCACUUUUUUUGGCAAACACACAAAUGCUGAUGUCAACAUUUCUCUAGGGAUGAUUCCCGUAGUAUAGAUAGCGUUAAACAGUUCUACUAUUAUGUCCAGGUUUUUCUCGUUGACCAACUUUAUCAGCUCGCUAGGUAAUUCAUCUGGACCAGCAGAUUUAUUAGUUUUUAUAGAGUUUAUUGCCUGACUAACCUCUGAUUUGGUUAUCUCUGGGCCUACGUCUCCGGUUUGGCUAUCUACGGAUGUACUAGCUUCUCUGUGGUCAUGAAAUAGUUCCUCGAUGUACUCUUUCCAUCGUCGUAGUUUUCGUUCUAUGUCCAUUAUAAUAUUUCCGUUUUUGUCGAGCAAUAUAUUUGAGGUUUUUCUAUUUUCUAUUCCGGCUAGUUCUUUGACUUUUUUAUGUAGGUUGAAGUUGUCAUAUCUGUUUUAAAGUUCUUCUAUUUCUUUACAUUUUUCAGAGAAGUAGGUUUCUUUGGCCUCCCUAAUUUUUCUUCUUAUUUGGUUUUGAAGCUGUUUAUAGCGGGUCUUAUUAUUUGUUUUGUUUUUUCUUCUUUCAUUCAUCAACUCUAGAAUUUCCUCCGUCAUCCAUUCUUCUUUCUUACAUUUGGUUGUUGUAAGUAUUUUCUUACUUGGCUCUAAUAGGGCUUUUCAUCGAUUGUCAUUUGUUUCGAGCUUCUGUCAUGUGUCACAUAAUAUUAAUAUAGCUACGUCAUACGUCUUUGGUUUGUAUCAUUGGUAGAUACCAAUAACGUAUGACGUUGAUAUAUUAAUAUUAUGUGACACAUGACAGAAGCUCGAAACAAAUGACUGUGAAUGAAAAGCCCUAUAUAGAGGUUUUGAAGAUUUGCCACUGCUGUUCUACGUUGCAAUUAUUUCCUGGGUUUCUAUCUAGAUUUGUGUUGAUUUCAUGUUUCAAAUUUUCUUUUGUUUUUUCUGAGUUAAGUUUCUGUAUGUUAAGUUUAUUGUUGUUGCGGCUUUUUUGCGUCUUUUUUAGUUGAAGUUGAAACCUAGCAAUAAGAAGACUGUGAUCAGAAGAUACGUCUGCUCCUGGAUAUGCCUUUACUGCCUGAAUUGAGUUUCGAUAUAUGUGCUUUAUUAGGAUAUAGUCAAUUUGAUUUCUGACGAUUUUGUUGUCUUUGUCAGCUGGAUUUCCAUGUAUAAAGGCGUCGUUUAGGUAAUUUAAAGAAUGUAUUUGCGACUCUAACAUUAUUCUCCUGGCAAAUUUCUAUUAGGCGAUCCCCUCUGUCAUUUCGUUCGCCGAGUCUAUAUGGCCCUACAUUAGGGUAGCAUUUUCCUUCGCCAAUUUUUGCAUUGAAAUCACCCAUGAUCACUGUUAUGUCUCUAGAUGCUGUGAACUGUAAUGUUUUUUGAAGUUCGCUAUAAAAGUUCUAUUUCUUCUUCAUUUUUGUCAGCAGUUGGCGCAUAAAUCUGAAUUAGGUUCAUUUUUCCAUGAGUUGUCAAUAACUGCAACAUUAUAAUUCUUUCGGACACCGGAACGAAGCCUGUUACUGAUCUCUUUACUUUUUCACUGAGGAUCAUAGCAACUCCAUAUCUGUGUUGGGUGUCGCUGCUUCCAGAGUAAUAAAUUCGCCCAUUGUCUGUAUUGAGUUCGCCAGAACUGACCCAUCUUGUAUCGCUUAUUCCUAAUAUAUCGAUAUCUAGUCGCAUCAUCUCUUGCUGUAUAUUCCUCAGUUUCCCACGUUCAUACAUACUUCUUACAUUCCAUGUAGCGAUUUUGUAAGUGGAUUUGUAUAUAUUUAGGGAACAGGGAUUUCGCUGACUAACGGCCUGGGAAGCCCUGUCGUUACUGUUGUUUCCUCCCCUGCCGAAUCUUGGCAUCCGAGAAUCAUGAUUAGUAGGUUGUUGAUUGUCAUUUCUGCAAGCCAUGACGAUUUCUAGGGAUACUCCAUAAGUCUUUAAUGCAGUGGUUUCCCGUUGCCUUCUGCAUUCUUAUACCGUUGACCAUUCUGUAGGGUUCAUCCGCCUUCGAGACCGAUUUCUCAGUCUCAGGACGAAAGAGUGCCCUGCCACUUACCAACUCAUCCGCCCGAAGCCGUUGGUCAGUAAGUGGGGGAUUGCUUAUACCGGCAAUCAUUCGGUGAAGAGCAUGUAGGUUGUAGAAAGAAAUAUGGUGACCCGUCUGCCCUCGGAAACCUAAUAGUCAUUCGGUGUCGGAAGAAGAAGAGGUAGCCAAGAGAGGCCGAUAGGAAAGAUUAAAGACAUUUCACUCAAGACUAUUUUCAUAAGCGUAUGAGUAUUAAUGCACUUUGUGUUCCCGCUCAUACUUCGGGUGUUGACUACAGGCUGUAUGCUCGUCCAGCAAAAUUAAUUACAUAGUGACCAUUUUUCUCUCCUCAAAUUCAGACUCCACACUCUCAUCCCUUCCAUCCUUCUUUCUCCGCCAAUCACAAAAAUUAUCUCUACCCACUAUAUCCAUAUUUUCAUUUCUUAAGAACCCAUUUAUUUUGUAUACAACUUUUCCAUUUUGUUAAAUUCUAGGAGAUACCAAAUUACUUUUCGUUGUUUCAAUAUGCUAAACAAAAAACCUUAUAUUCUAAACUCAAUAAAUUUGUUUAUUGUCUCUCCUUCUACGAAUCAUUUACAAAUGUCAUUGUUCAUUCCAAAGCGAACUAAAUGUCCUUUCUAAUUUUUACCGCAUAAUUGUAUAUCCGUUCAAAGAACCAUUAACAAAUCACUUAACGAUUUCACUUUCCGCGAAAACACUGUCUACUAACUAAAUUAUCAUAUUUACAAUUUUUGGUCAUAUACAGGGCGACGAAAAUCUAUGAUCUCGUGGUCUCUGAUAUAAAUUUAUUUUCUAAAAUUUUCCCAUAAAAAUUUUACAAUAAUAUGUAUAGAAACCGUCUAUACCUCUCUGCGAAGUUCUGGGAACAAUUUAUAAAAUUCUCCUUAUUGCUUGUACCUCAUGUUACUACCUAUCCAAACAUAUCUUCUUUUUCUGCAAAAUAAACUGCAUAAAUGUCUUUAUUAUUAAAUGGAAAAAAUAAAAUGCCCACGCAUACCUUUUAUUAAAUUUCUUUCUUUAUCUGAAUUAUUUCGAAUAAUGAAGGUACAUACAGCAGUGCUUCUUCUUCUUGUAAAUCGCCAUCGUGUUCGCUUAGAUGUGUUCUCCGCUUUAUUAGUGUAUUAAAAUAAACUCAAGUAUAUAGAAAUCGGCCCACUUCAAAUUUUUGACCUGAACUGUAUUUUUGAAGUUAUACUUCUUUAGGCGCGAUUUCAUUGAGGGUGAAAUUUUAUUAAUCUGUGCGCAUGCGCACACCGAUAGUAUGGUAUUAGUCGUUAUACGGGCUCUGAUUGGGUGUUGAAAUGAUCUGUCAAUAAUUGUUCAAUAUGGAGGUUAUCGGUAAACAAAAAUAUUGUAUAUAUUAGUUUUUAUUGUUGUGAGGACAGAAAUGAAAUCAAAUUUAUAAUUAUAGUGACUUUUUAAAUAGUUUUGAAAAGCCGCAGGUACGUAAUUCUAAAUGUUUCAGUUGUAUUCCAAUAAAAAAUUAUCUUCAUACCUAUCUAUUUGGAAAAUGUAAAAAAAAAUAAUGUAGUUACCUAUUAGUAGGCAAUGCUUUAAUUUACAUAAUCUGAUUACGAACAAACUUUCUACAAAUUUUCAUCUAAUAUAUCGUUUUCUUACUCUAUAUUUUGUUGUAUUUUAAUUCGACAAAAAUCAAACUAAUAAUUUGAUUAAAUUCAUAUAAAUAAACAAAAUGUCAAAAAUUUUACGGUGUAAACGUUUAGUUUGUGUAUAUUCCCACAUGACGUAUACGAGAAGGUGGUGCAGUGGGAAGUCGCUUCAACUUUCGUACGGCGCGAUAGACGUGAAGUGGGUUCAAGCCCCAAGCAAGUUGUUACUUUUUUAUUUUUUUAUAGAUUUUAUGAUUUUAAGUAUAUUAUUAUAUAAUUUUUUCAGAAAAUACGUCUUUAAUUUAAAUUGUUGGCAACAAUUAUUGUUCAGAAAUCAUUUGUGGCAUUUUUCAAUGUGUUUGUGUGUGUUUUAUUCUUUUAUUUUUUUUAAUUUUUGGUAUUGUUUUAAUAAACAUUUUUGGAAAGUAGUAGAGAAACUGUUUAAAGUAUAUUGAUUUCGUUGAAAUCAUAUAAUAGAAGUAUAACUUCUUACGUGCGUACAAAGUAUACACAUUCUUUUUUUUUCAGAAACUAGGUACUACUCUGAUCAAAAAAAGGGAUAUACUGUUUGAAAGAUAAUUUACAGUUGAGUCCAGGGUUCUUUACCCGUGCGUCAUCAUGUAAACCUAUACAUAUACGAAAUAGGUCGGAAAUUUAUGAAACGUAACUGCAAGUGACAGAGAAUAGCUAUUGAUCCGAUCACGGGUAGUGUAUAAAAUUUGACGUUAUCAAAUAAAUAGAAUGUUAAAUGUAAGUUUUGCUUUAAAAUUUUGGUGCAGCAUUACAGCUACAUUUGAAGUAGCUUAAUAAAUUCUUUUAAUAACAUUAGUGAUUAAUAAAUAAAUAAACAAUUUAUAAAAAAUCAAUAAAAAAUUGUCUUUUUGUCAUUUUAUUCACUUUGGCGGAAACUUAAACACAACCAUUCCUUAAGUGUGUGAAUGAGGUUAGCUUUGUAUGUUGUAAAAAUUAAAGGCAAAAUAAAACACACCUACCAUAAAAUUUCAAACUCCAAUAUAAAAUUAGUUGUGAAAACAACUGUUUGUGUGAUAUAAAAAACUUCAAAAUGCAAAAAUUCGGCAAAAAAACAGCAAAAAAUUCAACACAAAGACAAACCAGAAAUGUCACAAAUUGUACUUAAAAUUAAAAUCAUUCUCAAGCGUCUUUUUUGUAACUAUCUCUUUUCAAUGUACUGAGUCUAGAGCGUUCACAAAAAUAAGUGUUUUUACUUAAUAACAGGUGGUAACUGGUUUGCCAUUAGUUUCACGCGUGGAAAAGAAUGAUGCUAGAUAAAAAGUAUGUGUUUUAUCUCGCCAGGUAUUAAUGAAGAACGGGUAAAGAAUCGUGUACUCAACUGUAAUAUGUUCUAAUAUGAGUAUACAUUUAUGAAAAUUUAUUUCGACUUCUGUUUAACAAGCAAAUUAACUUGUUUAUUGCUAACACAAAAAAGGUAUUUGACAAUUAGAAAUUUAACAAUAAUUAAAGUUUUAAUAACGGGUAUGACCUCCCCUUGCGUUAAUAACUUCUCUCAAACGAUUAGGCAUAGAUCUGAUCAAGUUCGCCCUUGUUUCUUGUAAGAUGUUAAGUCGCCCUUGUUUCUACUGCGACAAUAAGCUCUGGGAUCAAGUUUGGGGUAUAAAGCCUAGCUCUAAUUCUUUGUUUUAGGUAAUUCCAUAAACAGUCUAUGUCUAUGGGAUUGAGGUAUGGACUGGACCAUGGCUAUUCCAUGACCCGAAAACCGACCUGAUUGCAUAAUAUAAUCUUGCACGAUUCUUGAGGUAUGCGAACUUGCAUUGUCCUGCAUAAAAAUAAAUUCGUCUCCAAUGUAGUCAACGUAAGGUACCACAUGCAUUGCUCAAAGCUCUCCAAUAUAUCUAGCACCAGUUAAUCUUUCUCGCUUGUGAAGACGGUUACCCCUACGAAUGAAAAAAAGCUGGGUUCAUGCCCCCAAAGAAAUGCACCCCAGAUCAUGCAGGAACCACCUCCAUACGGACUACGCUCUUCAAUGCAACAUUCUGCAAAAUGCUCUCCUCGUCUUCGGUACACUUUUCUUCUUUGGUCGCUACCAUAGAGGCAUAUUCUGGUCUCAUCUGAGAACAGAACAGAUCCCCAUUGUUCCAACGUCAAGUUCAGAUGAUCCUGUGUAAAACGCAGGCGUACUUGACGAUGAGCUGCAGUAAGUUUUUGACCAAUCACAGAUACUCGAGGAGUCAGAUUAUUUUCCUCCGGUCUUCGUCUCACUGUCCACUAAUAACCCAAGGGCGGAUCCAUGGUGGGGGCCAUGGCCCCCUCCGAGAAUUAAAAAAAUAUAAAUUUACAUAUUUGCAGUUUACAUGUUUUUAGUUUCAAACACAUAUGUACAAAACAGGAGAUAAAUAUGUUUUCUGGACUAGAAUGAAACAUAAGCAGUAACGGAAGCUUUAAGAAUGACAUAGGAUGUUUUGUAAAUCAAAAUGUAGAUAAUUUUACAGUGCCAAUUCCCAUAUUCUAUACACACAAAGAAUAAAAAAGAAAUGGAGUGUUACUUGGAUCACAAGAAUAAAAAAGAAAUGAAGUCAUAAUAAAGGGAUGACAACAUUGUCACAAAACCUUUAAUAUCUUUCGCCAAACUUAUGGGCAAAGACGGAGCCAUACAAACCUAUGAAAAAACAUCAUACCACAAUGAGUGCGUUGAGGUUUUCUACAAAGUUAUCGCAACCCGCAAAAGUCGGUCAUUAACCAGAUAGACUCUCAAAAGUCUAAACAGAUACAAGAAAAUAAAAAAAGACUACGACCAAUAGUAGAGUCUAUAGUGUUCUUACGGAGAAAUACGGAAAAGAAUAACGCAGGCAAACAGAGCUUAUUUUGCUCUCCCCCAUAUAUUUCGGUCUAAAAGAGCUUAUUUUGCUCUCCCCCAUAUAUUUCGGUCUAAAAUUAAGUGUCCACCGAAAUACAAAGAUGAGAAUCUAUAAAACCUUAAUUCGACCAAUAACAUGCUAUAGCAGUGAAGCCUGGGUCCUGAAAGAAACAUCCAAAAACAAAUUCGACACAUUCGAAAGGAAAGUACUUAGGAGAAUACUAGGCCCUGUGAGGGAAAACGGAAUCUUUAGAAGUCGAUACAACAACGAGCUUUAUCAACUUUAUAAGGAAACUCCCCUGUCAGACUUCAUUAGAAUACAAAGAUUGCAGUGGGCCGGACAUGUGAUAAGAAUGGGAGAGGAUAGGCUACCAAAACGAGCACUGAAUGCUAGAAUGCAAGAAAAGUGACCGGUUGGGAAGCCACGAAAGCGCUGGGAAGACACAGUAAACAGCGACGCACAAGCCCUUUUAGGAGUCCGUGUAUGGAGAAGAGCAGCCACAGACAGGCAAGGGUGGAGGCAAAAAAUAAAGGAGGUCAAGGCUCAAUUUAGGCUAUAGUGCCGUAGAAGAAGAAGAAGAAGAUAGUGUUCUUAGGUCGGCAAAAUAUUCCUCUAAGAGGCCAUCAUGAUGAUGGCUUUCUGCUUAUAGUCCUGUCGCCAGGGGGGGUACAACGGCCUCCUUAAUUCAGAUGGACUUACCCAAGUUUUUUUUAUAUAUUUUGACCCGUAGAAUACAAAUUUUUUGGGUAACAGUUGAUCCGGAUGUCGAUAAGAUUGUUAUAGACAAAGAACUUGAGGAAUUACAUAACAACGAUUUCUCGCAAAGCAAAACAUCUUUUUGUAUUUUUUGGGUCAUUUUAAGCAAAAAAUAUUCCUACAAGUUUUUUCGUAUAAUGCAUAGUUUUCGAGGUAACCGCGGUUGAACUUUCAAAAAAUCGAAAAAUUGCAAUUUUUGAACCCGAAUAACUUUUGAUUAAAAAAUAAAGUAGCAAUUCUGCUUACCGCAUUUGAAAGUUUAAGUCAAAUUAUAUCGGUUUUGAUUAUUUGUAUUGCUAAAAAUUAAUUUUUUUAUUGUUAAACCAAGCUAUAAACACAUAGUGUUUCCCGUCCCUAAUACAUGCGUUUUAACGCAUGCUAUACUCCAUCUAAUUUACUUACCGUUGCACGUCAUCCGCGUCAUAGCCUGUGACGUCACAUGAUACCAACACGAAAUAUUUAGGCGGUAGGUGUGUUCUUUUUUAGAAUCACUUUGCCGAGUAAACUGGCAUUACAGCCACUAGACAUAUUUUAUUAUAUACGCGUAGAAAUAAUAUUUAAAAGAUUUCUAUUAAUGUCAACUUAAAGAAAUACACAAUAAUAUGUUUCUUUUAAUUUGUAUAAAUGGAUUAUAAAGCGUUUUUAUGAAGCACAUGUGUUCGGAAUACACUGUAACUAUAAUCGAACGCAGGUGAUAUUUUGGCAUAAAUUGGUAACAUUUAUUUGACAAUUGCGGUGAUGACACUUCAUAUUUGUUUAUAUUCUUUACUAUAAGUAUUUGUUUCAUUAUAUUUACUGUUUUUAUUAUAUACUUUAACGUAAGAUUAUAACUUAAUUCCUGUUUCCUAUUUCUAAAGUUUUUAUUUAUUUAUAUUGAAUAUUAAUUUGUUUUGCUGUAUAAUUGACUUCCGCAAAAAUUGUGUGAUGUAUUUGAUUUAAAAUGAAUUCAAGAAUUUUUUGUAAUUGGGCAACAAUGUCAACUUAGAUCUCUAACGUAGAUAAUGACGUGCAACGGUAAGUAAAUUAGAUGGACUGUACGUAGAAAUUGUCUCGCUUGCACUUGUAGCUACUCUACCUACUCGUUCGAUUUUAAAUGAGAAAUCAUUGAAAACAUCACUCACGCACUAGCUGUUUAUAGCUUUGUUUAACAAUAAAAUAAUAAAUUUUUAGCAAUGCAAAUAAUCAAAACCGAUAUAAUUUGACUUAAACUUUCAAAUGCAGUAAGCAGAAUUGCUACUUUAUUUUUUAAUCAAAAGUUAUUCGGGUUCAAAAAUUGCAAUUUUUCGAUUUUUUGAAAAUUCAACCGCGGUUAUCUCGAAAACUAUGCAUCCUACGAAAAAACUUGUCACAGUAUUUUUUGCCUAGAAUGACCCAAAAAAUACAAAAAGAUGUUUUGUUUUGCGAGAAAUCACUGUUAUGUAAUUCCUCAAGUUCUUUGUCUAUAACAAUCUUAUCGACAUCCGGAUCAACUGUUACCCAAAAAAUUCGUAUUCUGCGGGUAAAAGAAUAUAAAAAAAACUUGGGUAAGUCCAUCUGAAUUAAGGAGGCCGUUGUACCCCCCCUGGCGACAGGACUAUUAUGAACGAAGAUGCUGGACCUAGCAAUGAGGAGUCCAGGGGCAAUUGUCUAGGUUUAAAAUCGCAUCAGGAGAUAAGACUCUUAAACGACACCUAUCCGCAGCAACAUGCAUUAGUAACAUCAGUCAAAAUCAAUUGAUAGCAUACUGUGGUGAAGAAAUAAUUGAAAAAAUAAUGAAUCAGGUUCAAAGUGCAAAUUAUUACUCUGUGAUAUUUGACGAAACAACUGAUGUAUCUCACAUAGAACAGCUUUCUCUAAAUUUGAAAUACAUAUAAUAACAACAUUCGUGAAAAUUUUGUCAAGUUCAUUGACGCUUAUGAGAACAUAAAAACAAUUAGUGAAAAUCAAGAAAGAGGAGAAGAAUAAGGCUUGACAGGAGAAGCAUUGGGAAAUAUAGUAUUAAACUUGUUGAAAGAACUGCACCUGGAUCCGAAGAAAUGUGGAGGAAUCGAUACUGACUUUAAAAAUACUUUAAUAACGAUAACUUUUGAAUGUCUGUAUGGAACUCAAAAGUGUGUGAAAAGUGCCUUAAAACUCAUCAUUGUAACCCUACUGUUUUAAAGUUACUCUCUGGCCCGCCGGUACCCCUCCACAAAAAAAGUUCAUGGCCCCUCCCGAAAAUCGGUCCUGGAUCCGCCCUUGUAAUAACCACUCCUCUUACUUCAAGGAGCUAUUGUUGCACUAGAACGGCAAUAAGAUCUAAGGUGGCGAUGUCUGAAUAUUGUUGACACAAUAAAGCAAUCUGUUCCAGGUCAUCUAUGAAAGAAUCAAAUUUCCUCAUAACGUUGGAACACUUUUCGAACCGCUGCGCGUGUCAUAUCCAGUUGUACAGCUACAGCUCGCUGUCUAAGUCCAUUUUAUAUUAAUGCAAUAACUUUGCAUACAAUUUUCUCUUUUUUUACCUCUGUAUCUUAUUAAAAUAAACAUGGUGGACCUUUUCAGGGACUUUCUACCCUCGGUAAUAAUGUAAUCUUUCAUUCUGCGUUUAAGUUUUUCAAAAAUACUUAUUAGUUUUCUUAGGAUUCGAAAAAAAAAAUAAAUACAUUUAAAAAGCAUUGGGACGAAAUUUUGCGCAAAUUCGAUAGAAUUCGAGCUUAGAGAGAAUUCGCUAAUAUAUAACGCACUGAAAGAAGGGUUUGGUAUACACUGAAGUUCGGCCUAUUCUUCAGUUCCAGUUAGAAAUCCGCCGACACGAUCCUUCCAAUCAAGCAUUAGCUGGUAGUUCAACACUUAGAAGUAGUUCAACGCUUGCUCUGGGUAAUCCAACAGCUUAACACGUUCGGUACCAAACGCCACUUGGCUGGUACCACGUACCUAAAUUGUUCAUUUAGUAUCGCAGUACUGCCGCCGACACUCGUGCGUCGUCGGCAACCUUGACGAAACCCUCGUGACGAUACAGUGUCGUCGAGGGCAUUAAACGAGUUAAAAACGUUCCUUAUCUUCAAAUUUUUCUCUUUGAUUUUUUUUUAUUUAACUGUCUUGUCAACGUUCCGUAUUUUUUCUUAAACUUCUUUUUCUUUUACUUUUAUUUACCGAAUUCGUAACAAUUGAGCACUAUUUGACUUGUUUUGUACUUUUGAUUUGUAAUGUGAAAUCUAAAACAUUCUUUAUUAUACUCAUCAUACCAUACACCGCUCAUAUCUAACUUGUGGUAUUACCCCCGUAUAUAUUGGGAUACUUUGUGGUGGGAGAAAAUAUUCUGAGGGCGGUAAUAAAAAUCAUCAUCUGAUCUUUUGGCGGCAUAUACAAGUCACAAGUAUGCAAAAUAUGGUCAGAAAUGUUUUACAGACUUUAUGUAGACAUGUUAUCAAUUGUUUUAAAUACAUAUUGUAAACGUAAAUAUCUAUAUAGUUGUUCCAUUACAUCUUUGCACAGACGUCAUGAUUCAUUUUGAAACAAGUUUAAUCAAAACACUAAGUGAAACGUACCUCGAUAUGUACUGUCAAUGUAAUAAUUAGGAAAUGGCUAUUAUCCCGGUGGACGUAUUUUAUAAAGUUAUUUUAUUGAAGUGUUUAAUCUUUUUUCACUAUUAAGGAGAUUGAUGACAACAUUAAACAGCUUGAAUAUCAUACCCACUAUUACCAGAAAGAUAAAUAUAGAACGGUAAUAAAUAGAUUUAAAAAGAAAACAAAAAAUUAAACAGUAAUCUCGAAAAUAAACAAAUAAUUUUCCAUUCGACAGAACUAUAGCCACACUCAUGUAAUAUAAUGAAAAUUUGUAGGUUCAAAAUACUACUUGACACAUUUUCGUAAAAAAUAAAUGAGUAGGUACUUACCGGAAGUAAUAAAAUUAAGAGAGCAACAGUUAGUCGUUCUAACAAUAAUCCAGAUUUAGCCAUACGGCUCACACUCCAUCUAAGGGGAAAAUUGACUCAUCCCAGAUACUUACGGUACCAAAAGGAUUGAGCUCUGGUGGGACUCUUUCCGUGUUAUCGAGCCUUAGGUGACUUGGAAUGCAGGUGUAUCUCCGAGAAAUUUUCGUACGCAUCUGGCCGUCGCGAGUAGUACAGCUUUCUGCAUGGUCUUAUAAAGAUGUUCAUUCAGACCCAGCUUUUUUAUGCUUUCGAGGAGGGUCUUCGGAAUGACUCCAGUAGUAGAAAUAAUAAUCGGUAUCGUCUGGGUACUUUGCAUUCUCCAUUGCCUUCGUAUUUGAAUUUCUAGAUCUCUGUAUUUGGCGAUCUUUUCAGUAAAUUUACUACGUAGAUUAUUGUUGUUAGGUAUUGCCACAUCAAUUAGUGUUGUUUGUCUUGUUAAUUUAUUAACUAGUACGAGAUCUGGUCUAUUAUGUGCCACUGUUUGGUCUGUGAGCACAGUGCGGUCCCAGUAUAGCUUGUAGUUGCCAUCCUCAAGCAUACUAUCAGGGAUGUAUUGAUAAUACGGGAGAUGGUCUGUUUGGAGAAGUCCCAGCUUGAUAGCUAUCUCUUGAUGAAGGAUUUUUCCCACUGCAUCAUACCGUUUCUUGUAUUCAGUUGCAGCAAAUGCCUGGCAGCCCCCUGUAAGAUGUUGGAUGGUUUCUUGGGCUUGACAUCCAUAUCGGCAUCUGUCGUUUUGAACCUGAGGGAGUUUGAUGAUAUAUUUCAGGUAAUUUCUGGUUGGUAUAACCUGAUCCUGAAUGGCCAGUAAUGAACCCUCCGUUUCAGGGAACAUAUUUCCUGAUGUCAACCAGUAGUUCGACGCUAUAUUGUCGACAUAAUCUUGGCUGACCUCAUUGGGAUGUCGCCCGUGCAGAGGUUUACCUAUCCAGGCGCGCACUUUUUCGUCCUUAGUAAGGUGGUUUAUGCGCAUUUCUGGUUCCCUCAGUUUGAUCGGUGUUAUGUCAUCUACUGCGCAGAUAGCGCGAUGUAGAGUAGAUGUCUCAGCCUGCAUCUGAAAAUAAGUUCUUAAAUUAGCAAUUUGUUUAUCUAAUUGCUCACCUAUAUCCAUAAGUCCUCUUCCUCCUAGAUUCCGUGGUAAUGUUGUUCUUUCUACUUCACUUUUAGGAUGGUGUUUUUGUGCCUUUGUGAGGUGUGUUCGUACUUUUCGCUGUAGAGCUUCUAUAUCUGUUUUUGUCCACUUAACAAUACCAAAUGAGUAGCUAAUCGCGGAACAUGCGUAGGUGUUUAGUGCCCUAAACAAAUUUCUACUGUUAAGGUGUGAGCGAAGCAGCUGUUUUACCCUUCGUAUAAACUCAGUAGUUAUCUCUGUUUUCAUUUGUUUAUGGUCAAUUUUCCGCGCUUGCUUUACUCCAAGAUAUUUAUACAUAUCGUUUUCACCCAUGGCCUCGAUGUUCUGGCCAUUUUGCAUAUCGAAUCCUCCGGGCUUAACUAACAAUAAUUAUUAGUAUAAUUAUUAUACUUGAAAAUUAAACUUAAAAUGACCUAGGUACACAAAUACUAAAAGUUAAAUAAUUUGAAAAACCAAAUAAACAAUAAAUUCAAAUAAACUAAUAAACACAACACAUGCGCUAAUGUCACUGUCACUGAAGAUCAUAACCGUCAAAAUUCAUAGUAAAAAAAAGGUAUUAAAGACAUGACGUAUUAUUUAUCCUUGUUUAACUUAUUGUGGUUUCUAGGGACAAGCCGCUUAAUUUUGCGAUACUAGUUUCUGUGAGUAAAAAACAGACCUAGUAUAAAAAGUAAUUCGUGAAUAAUUUCAUGCAUGGGCAAAGAUAGAGAGGAAGAACUAUACCAUACCUUUCUCCAGUACAUAUUAGAUUCAUGGAAUGAAUAAUACUGUAGGCCAGAGGUCGGCAGCGUUUUUAAUGUAAAGAUUUAAAUACUAAAUUAAAAAUUCAUGAAGGGCGCCAACUAUUUUUUGACCUAACAAAUAUAUAAAUAUAAACGUAUAAAAAAUAUACGUUGUGAAUUUCUUAUGUAAAUUAACAAUAGUUUAAUGGCGCAUUAAAAUUUAUUGCAGGGCGCAGUGGCGCCCGCGGGCGCCUCGUUGCCGUCCUCUGCUGUAGGCUAUCAUCUACCUACUGUUGUUACGCUUUAUUUUAUAAAUGCAUACCUUUAUUUUUUUCCGUCACUGGUAAUAUUAUAAAUCUGAGUCAUGUUGUAAAAAUUUUACAAAUUAUUUAGUGCUUUUAAAAGUAUUUGUAAAUAUGAAUGUGAAAUAAUAUAUUUUGUUAUAAAACUGUGAGAAUAUAUAAACAUUUGUUGUAAAUUUUGUGUUUUUAGGUGUAGAUAAUUCUGUGUGAAUUUUUUUUAGUUAUACAAGUCUGCUAAAUUAAGUUUCUAAAAAUUCUAGCGACAAAGACGUGAUUUUUUAUUUAAAAGUAUAUUAAAUUCCUCAAAAAUUACCAACAUGGACUUAGCACAUCAGUAGCAAAAGCUAACCUACCAGUCACUACGGGAGACCCUGACAAAACGAAAGAAUACACAAAGAAGUUUAUCACUGAAAUAAUCACAAGACAAUACAAACCCCAUAGAAAAGCAUUGGUUGACUGAAGAAACUGUCAACCUUGUAGAAGAAAGAGAGAAACUUAGAACUUUACUUUAUAACUAUAAAACACUUAUGCAGACAAUAGGGAACUUGCACGUUUAUUUAUUACAUGAUAAUGUUCAGUUUUGUUUAAAAAUGAGAUUUCCAAAAUUUCACGCUUCAAAAACUGAUAAUAACUUAGGCCCGGUUUUUCAGUGAGAGGUUAAAAUUUUGGAUAGCUAACCUAGUUUAAAUUUUAACCAAGAUUUUAGCCCUUCUAGCGUUUUUCAGUGCUUUAAACUAAGUUAACAAAAUCUCGGUUAGCUAACCACUUUUUUUCUUCUGUUGGCUGCAGUUAUGGUGCUUGCGCAUGUGCAAUUCGAGAAAUAAUGAUCAAUUUGACAGAAAAAUAAAUGAAAACAAUUUCAUAACCAAAUUAAAACAAAUGUUAAAUGUAAUAUCAAGUUCGGAGUCUUUAUUUGGUUCAUAACAUCUACCUCGGUUUCAUAACAAAAUAGACCAUUACAAUUACUGGGACGAUUUAGACUUUUUUGUCGAUUUCGUUUGUCAAAGACCACGGUGAUAUCGCUAUUGGAAAUUAUUAGCCAGGAAAUAAGAAGUCCAACUGUUUCGUAAAUAAUUAUUUUGCUGUAUAGACAAAUUGAUAAUUAUCUUUAUUUUACUGAAAAUGGUUAGGUAUUCAUUUUUGAUAAUUAUCUUUUUAAAAUAUAUUACUAGGAAUCAUGCAUUAAAUCCUGUUACAGUAUGUGUAAACAUUGGUACCUGUUACAGAGUUAUAAAAAUAUAUUUUCUUAUAAUUCCUUCCUAUUAUAAUAACGAUAAUAAUUUAAAAUUUCCUUAUAAUAAUAACGAGGAAGAAUACUUCCCGCGAUAAAAACAAAAUAACAUAACCUAACUAUUCUCUUCAAAAUAAACAUUCUACAUUCGACUCUGACUGACCUGAUGCAUUCACUGCACCCAUGCGAAAGCGUAACCACAAAAUUCGGAGUUAAACCAUCUAACGAGUAUCGGUUAAAAUAUUGGUUACUUAAACGGGUUUAAUCUCUAACCUAGUACUGAAAAACUGAUUAACCAUAAUAUUUCGGUGAUACAAAAAUAUAUAGGUUAACCCCGCACUGAAAAACCGGCCCUUAGAAAUACAAAUUUAAAAUCUUCUGUAUUUUAAAAUAGUUCAGACGACCCGUGACGUCACAUAGUUUUACUAUAUGGCUAUGUUUAUGAUUAUAUUUAGGUAUUUUUUUCUUCUCCUUCUUUAGUUUAUUGGCCUCCACCUACUUGGGUAUUUGGCCAGCUCAUCGUCGCGGCAUAAAGGAAAAAUAUUUAUAUUUCUAAUGACAUUUAUCGUAUGUCAUUGUAAUAAUAUAUCACUUUGUUGAGAUUGGAGUUUGAUACAGUUUUUGAAGGAAAGGAAAGAAGGUUUACUGUGGAAAAUAAAACCAUUUUGUAAAAGUACAAGUUUUCUGUGAAUAGUUCAAACGAUCAAAAACACUUGUAACGUCACAUAACUGUAUUUUCUACUGACGUUUAUAAUUGCUAAUUUAAAAUUAUAUACAAUUUUGUUUACUUUGUUGGUGCAGAAUGUAAACAUAUAAUCAUAUGACGUCACGAGGCGUUUUGGGCUAGCUGUUUUAAUUUGAAUUUAGAAUCGUCUUUAGGGGCCAGACGGAACGCAAAAACAACUUUUUUAUCUUUGAUACAUGUUUUAAAUUAUGUUCUGUUUGAUUUAUAACAUUUUAUUCGAAUUUAAAAUUUUAUGUAAGUUCCCUAUUACAUGUAUAUUGUAGUCGGCUAUAACUUUCCCAGUUUUCAUUUCUUUAAUUGUGUGAAAACUCACUAAUUCUGUUCGUUUUAACAGCUCUAUUGCACCAGAAACUCGUACUCGAACAGAAGCUUCAACUAAUACAUGGCCCAGAGCACGCAAAAUAGAAUUCUAUUUUGCUGACGUCACAAAAUAGAAUUUCAUAAUGGGAGAAUCGACGGUUGCCAGGCAACAUGACGUCACUAAAAUAGAAUUCUAUUUUGCGUGCUCCCACUGCAGGUUAGCGUAGUUGCCAUAAUUACUCAAUGUAUAUUCCCUAUGUCCAGUUGAACGAUUUACGUACUGUAUAUAAUCUAUACAUCAUGGACCCUCACUUGCAAUCUUUUCAUCAUUAUUAUAUACUUCUGAUUCAUUGCACAAUAGCACUUUUCAGGAUACAUAUUUCUUUAUGAAAAUUAAAUGCUAGAAUAUGUUAGUCAGCUACAUAAGUUGUUAAAAUAGUAAAUUUGUACUUAUUUCUCAGACUUGUUUAAACUUUUAUGUUGUCGGGGUUUAUGUUAUAAGUCGGGGGUAAAGGGAAUAUAUUGGUUGUCUAUAAUAUUCACUUAAUAUUACAUAUACAUAUAUGGAAGUUACAUCGAAGAUGAUUAAUAUAAAAAUUAAUAUUAAACUCACUUAAUUUCCGAGCUGGGGCAAAUUGAGCUUUCUUAAUUAACUAUUCUAAUUGGGAAAUAAGCCACAAUUUAACUUGAAAAAUAGUUUUAUAACGUUCAGUGGAGAUAUUGCAGUAAAAAGAGAAAAAUUAACGAAGCGGCUCUAAUUGUGCUAAAUAAAGAAAAUUGUGUCGGAAAUUCCUCGGUAGAAUGUAGCAGGAUGUGGUUACCCAUAUUAAAAGAGGAAGUCAAUAGAAAGAAAAUACCACGAUUAGUAAGUCAAUAACAUAUCGAGAAUAGUACAUAUUUUAUAUUUUAGUAUUAUUUAUAUAUCCAUGUAUUAUUAAUAUUAUUUAUAAUUUAAAAUAACAUACAUAUACUUACAAUGUUGGGAUAGUAUCAAGGGGUUUCUUCGUGGUUUUUCCUCGUGAUUUACUAUGGAAUCACUAACAAGAGAAUUUUACUGUCAUCGUUGCGUGUGGUUGUCUUUUUAAAGAUAGAUCACAUGCUAUGAUCUUUUUGUGACGGAUAUUCUUGAGUUAAAGUUGAUUUCAUGUAAUCGAAUGUACUAUCUUACAAUAAAGUCGUCCCAGGAACGCAACUCAUAAAUAUUGGCAAUAUCAUUUUAAAGUCUUAUACUUUAAAAUGUAUAAUAUUAUGUCUGAAUUGCCGAUAUAAAUGAACCAGAUUAAAUUAAAUUGUUAAAAGAAUUUUUUUAUUAAGCAACAUUUUUAUUUAAUUUAUUAAUAUUUUGUAUUUUGACAACGACGUCCGAAGUGGACGUCGAAACGUUAUAAAAUUAUUUAAUUUAAAUUGUGGCUUAUUUCCCAAUUAGAAUAGUUAAUUAAAAAAAUGGCACAAAGAAAUACCUUCAGAACAAUAUUGAGCUUUCUUCUCCCUCUCUGUAGUCUUCAUCAGGACAGAACCUAUUUUAAGUCUGCCGAUCUCAGAUAAUUUAAUUUCAGUAGUAUUCUACAUAUAUAUUAAUACUAUUAAUCUUAAAUAUAUUUAUAUAAAUAAUGCACAUUUCAAAAAUAGUAAAUAUUAGAGACAACCAAAAUAAGUAUACGGAAAAUAAUGACUGCACUAGUGAUGAAAGUCAUAUAAAUUUGUAAGUUUACCUGUUUAAUAAAACUUCGUUUUAUA
RNAcentral lists this unclassified non-coding RNA (22669 nucleotides) under Diabrotica virgifera virgifera (western corn rootworm). RNAcentral describes it as "acetyl-coenzyme A transporter 1". Lineage: Eukaryota; Metazoa; Arthropoda; Insecta; Coleoptera; Chrysomelidae. The record is from RNAcentral.